UCAGAUAAUAAUCCCAGACAUAAAAAUACCAAGAGGGAUAUUUCAGGGAGACAGACUCUCACCACUUUUAUUCUGCUUAAUCAUGGACCCA
Molecule: long non-coding RNA, 91 nt
Organism: Thalassophryne amazonica
Lineage: Eukaryota; Metazoa; Chordata; Actinopteri; Batrachoidiformes; Batrachoididae
Exons: 3
Source: RefSeq, a predicted model, not a curated record